CAUAGACAUAGGUAGGCAGACAGGUAGGCAGACAGGUAGGCAGACAGGUAGGCAGACAGUCAGGCAGACAGGUAGGCAGACAGGUAGGCAGACAGGUAGGCAGACAGGUAGGUAGGUAGGUAGGUAGUUAGGUAGGUUGGAGGUGUGCAUGCACCAAAGUGUUUCGUGGUGAAUAGAGUCAAAAGUCCUACUGAAGUUUAUCUGCAUCACGAUAAGUGGUCUGUCUCCGGGCAAUGUAUGCUAAGAAAUGAGGUGGCGCAGGGCAACACGGAGAAUUGAUUUCUCCGUUCCAGAGCCACACCUACAUCCCGCCUGUCUUGCGGCGCAGUUUCCGUUUUCCUCACAGAAUUUGUAACCCGGCUAGCGAUGAGCGCGGCGCACAACUUGCACAAAGGGUCCCCCACAGCGAUACCCCGAUAAUUAUCACAUGUUGAGUCAUCUCCCUCCUUGAGUGCGGGGUACAAUGUAGUGGACGUAAAGGCUAGGCACCCUGUUCGCCUCCCUCGUACACGCAGUUGAAUACUUAAGUCCGUUAGGUUGCAAUGGCAUGCCUUGUUCGCCCGUCAUGCCCCUCAGUAGUUGGAUGCUUGUAGUUCUCGGCCAGUGUGGGUUCCCGUUGUGAGGCGUAUGUAUACCUACGCUGUGUGUUAUGUGAAUCCCAUCAAAAUUGACCCCGGUGGGGAUUGAACCCACAGCCUUCGGAUGCUUUCUUCUUUGGAAUCCGACGCGCCACCAUUACGCCACGGAGCCGGUUUUCCGGGAGAACCACAGCGUGCGCUGCUUGGGCGAUAUAUAGUUAGCACAGAGUCCGCCACAGGUGGUGUCCACCACCCUAAUGCCAGUCAUUAGGACUGCUCUACCCUGAUAAAACCCUAAUAAUGGUAGGAACCCUGGCGGUCCCAAUGGUAAAUGCACGCAUGUCCGCACGAUCGGUUCGCUGAUGGUGGAGGGGUCAUGAUUGACCUGUACUGUAUGGCUGAUCGAUGCCGCUUUCUUUCCUCCAGUCAAAUGGCUUGAGGUUGGUCAACAGCUCAAGGGGGAAGAUGGCCUUUUGCUUUGCGAUCACAGGCCGGUUUCUAUUGUUGUUGACGCUGCUGCCAUGGCGUCGGCUCCACACAUGCCACAAACGAUCAAGAAGCAGGUUAGGUUCGAUGUGUCGCUCUGGAGGCACUAUGUGCGUUUCUUAAAUUCCGAGGUGAUUAGGCACCAGUGUCGGAAGCUUUACGGCAGAUUACAACUGAUCUGAGCGCAGAAUCUACUUACUAAUAAAUAGUACCAGGGCGGUUGAGCGUGUCGGUACGGCUUUGACUAGGUGAUUGGAGAAAGCAUUUGGUAAGGCCCGCCCAGCACACUUCAGUCAAGAGCAGGAUGCCCCUUGGAGGGUCGCAAGUGCCGCCGAGCUGCACCGGCAGGCCAUGUUAGAUGCGCGCAGCGAUGUCAACAAACAGGGAGCUGGCCAUGGUUGGGAGGCAUUUCGCGAUGCGCGGAGGGUAUACAAUGCGGCAAAGGGGAAGACAUGCGCUGCUUGUGAUCUUAUGGUGUUUCGGGUUAUGGUGUCAGCAAAAAAUACCGUACUGAUCCCAGAGUAUUAUUAGGGAGGCAUAUCGGAGCGGCCACGAAACCGUGUUGUCUCAUCGAUGACGGCUCCGAGUGGCCGAAAUACUUCGAACAGCUGAUGUACGAUGGUGCUGAUGCUGCAGAUAGGGCUGCAGCCG
This 1715-nucleotide long non-coding RNA is filed under the name Volvox carteri. RNAcentral's name for it is "long non-coding RNA (VCAR_LNC003536)". The record is from RNAcentral. Lineage: Eukaryota; Viridiplantae; Chlorophyta; Chlorophyceae; Chlamydomonadales; Volvocaceae.